This 466-nucleotide ribosomal RNA is filed under the name Vreelandella stevensii. RNAcentral's name for it is "partial 16S ribosomal RNA". It matches the Rfam family "Bacterial small subunit ribosomal RNA", at positions 338 to 795 of the family's 1533-position model. The record is from RNAcentral. Lineage: Bacteria; Pseudomonadati; Pseudomonadota; Gammaproteobacteria; Oceanospirillales; Halomonadaceae.
CCUACGGGGUGCUGCAGUGGGGAAUAUUGGACAAUGGGCGAAAGCCUGAUCCAGCCAUGCCGCGUGUGUGAAGAAGGCCUUCGGGUUGUAAAGCACUUUCAGUGGGGAAGAAAGCCUUGGGGCUAAUACCCUCGAGGAAGGACAUCACCCACAGAAGAAGCACCGGCUAACUCCGUGCCAGCAGCCGCGGUGAAUACGGAGGGUGCGAGCGUUAAUCGGAAUUACUGGGCGUAAAGCGCGCGUAGGCGGUCUGAUAAGCCGGUUGUGAAAGCCCCGGGCUCAACCUGGGAACGGCAUCCGGAACUGUCAGGCUAGAGUGCAGGAGAGGAAGGUAGAAUUCCCGGUGUAGCGGUGAAAUGCGUAGAGAUCGGGAGGAAUACCAGUGGCGAAGGCGGCCUUCUGGACUGACACUGACGCUGAGGUGCGAAAGCGUGGGUAGCAAACAGGAUUAGAUACCCGGGUAGUC